CAGCUGAGUUGAGACUGUGUUUGCUGGAACUUUGAAGCCCGAACAGGACACUGUGAAUGAAAAAGGACCAGUGAGAGAUGAAGCUGGACGAGUUUGACUGCGAGAAUAUAGGAUAUAAUUGGAUUGAAAAUUGAAGCCUGAACUCAUGAAUUGUUUAGGGAUGUCCACCACAGCAUAACAAAGAGGUAAACGUUAGAAAAGGUAAGAAUAAUGAAAGAAAAUAAUUGUCAUUACCUUAAUGAAUAGAAAACACACAUACAAAUUGUUACAUGUGAGAUUAUUUUUGAAAUGAAUCAGAAGUGAGAUAGUUUGAAUCUAAAGCUCAGUGGUGAAAUGCAUAAAUUAAAUAUGAAUAUAUAGGAUGCAAUGAAGAAACAGCUUACACGUAGUGAACAUCAACAUGAAUACAUAGAAAUGCAACGAAGAACUCAAUGAAUUAAUUCAAGGAAGAAGCAGCUUACACUGUAUUAACAUGACCGCCUAACGCAAGGAAGAACACGCUGACAUACAUGACAUAAUUGAUAUUUCUGACCAGAGAAAGAGAAAAGUGGGUCGUUUGACCACUCGUGAUAAUAAUGAAAAUGUCUUAGUUUGUUAUUUUUAGGAGCAAAGCAGACCCGGACCAGCUCUCCAGAUCCAGCAGUUGGAAGAAAAUUGUAGGUUAACGCCAAUGGGUAUGUUAAGGCAAGUUUCUGGUUGAAUUGUUCACAGAAUCAGGUGUCCAUGAACCUGGAAAACAGGCCCUAGCUCCUGGCUGGAGACCAGGAGGGCUUUUAUUCAAGGUGGGAAAUUAAAAUUUGGGCUAGUAAGUCGGGGAAGAGAAAACUGACUGCUUAACUGGAGAAUUGGGAAGGAGUUUGAAAGACUGCGAAGCCAUAGAUGCAUAAAUAACACACACAAACAGAAAAUGCAUUAACUUUACAAAGACAAGCUCAUGAAGUUUAAUGCAUACAGACAUUGAAUAAACCUGGCUAAGAACAUAAGCAUAUGCAAUGAAGAUCUGCUUGCUGCUUGUAUGAGUGAGAGAAUGGUGUGAAUGGUUAAUAAAAUUGAUGGAAAGAUUUAAAAAAGAUGGAGAAAACACAAGAAAAGUAUUAAAGCAGUUUUAAAAGGGUGCCUUAGGAGUGCCUUUGCACUGAUUGAUAAAAGUAAGUGAUUAGUAUAGAAAGAAAAUGAAAAUAAUUCAAUAAUGUGUUAAGGUUUAAACAUGUAUUUCUCUUGUCAAGUUGGCUGUUGAGCUGUGUGUCUAUGCAAAUUAGCUGGAGCAGAGACACUUCCUGUGUGCGUGUGUGUCGGAGGCUUUCAGUUCAAGAGAGAGCGGUGGCUGUUGAAGAGUAUUUGGCGAAAUAUAUAAUGCAGGCCUGGAGGAGAGUGAACUGACGGCGCUGACAAAAUUACCAAGUACGAAAAUCAGGUGGGCUUUACAGAAUUAUAAAUUGGCUGAGAAGGAGACCUGAUUGGCGAAUUGUGCCGAAGUACUUAGAGGAAGUGCACCAGAUCUCCCAGAGGGAAGCGAUAGCGAAGACGAGCUGAGGGGAAGCACCGACCCGAAGACAAUGUUCUUUAAAACUAUGUUAAAGGUUGUUGACAGAACAUUUGUGGUUUUGAGUGACGUAUGCUGUAUAAAUCUGCCUAACAACAGAAGAGGGGGUGGUACAAUGCUCACCUCUAUAAAACCUUUGUCUAAUUAUUGUAAGUUCAGUUCGACGCUGAAUCUGUACAGCGUUCGGACUCCGCACGUGUGUAUUCAUUAAAAUGCCG
Long non-coding RNA from Oreochromis aureus, 1761 nucleotides. NCBI's taxonomy places the organism in Eukaryota, Metazoa, Chordata, Actinopteri, Cichliformes, Cichlidae. The record is from Ensembl.